Neogale vison (American mink) is the source of this 306-nucleotide long non-coding RNA. RefSeq lists it as uncharacterized. Lineage: Eukaryota; Metazoa; Chordata; Mammalia; Carnivora; Mustelidae. The record is from RefSeq and is a predicted model, not a curated record. The transcript has 3 exons.
UGCAAGUGUCUCAGCCCCCAUCCUUUCCCAGGCUCCAGGAUGGUGGUCUUGAGGAUCACUGAGGUCCCAAGGAUGGCAGCCCUCAUGAUGUCCUUGGUGAUGCUGAGCUCCCCUUUGGUUCAGAGCAGAGACAGCCUAGGUCUCUGAUGGUUGUUGCUGAGGAGUGUCCUGCAGUCAUAAGAACCACAAGGGCCUGUCUGGGAAAUGCCUGUAGGGACUCUCCCCAAGUAAUAGGGACCCAGCCGGUGAUUCGGAAAUAACAAAGUGCUCAAAGAAUGCCUGUUGAAGUGUUUCUCCUUCUCAUCC